Long non-coding RNA from Gymnodraco acuticeps, 294 nucleotides. RefSeq lists it as uncharacterized. Lineage: Eukaryota; Metazoa; Chordata; Actinopteri; Perciformes; Bathydraconidae. The record is from RefSeq and is a predicted model, not a curated record. The transcript has 2 exons.
AUCUGAUCCACUUCUCUUUUCCUUCGUGAGAAGCAGCUCAGCACAGCAGGAACAACAGAGUAUCUGUCUGCCUACUCCUCUGCCUGCCACGUCCAGCCACCAACCCCUCGUCUGUGUUCCUCCGUGCAUCUCCGCACACCUGCUCCAGCCUGCUCGCACUUGCAAACUGGAUCCCCGGCUUCGGACCUCCGCUCCAACUCCGGAGAUACUCCCUGACCCUGGACAUUGUGAAUAUCAAUUCCCUCAGCUGUUCAGCAUCACCGGUUUUGGAAAUAAAGCCUUUUGUUUCUUAAA